This 440-nucleotide ribosomal RNA is filed under the name uncultured bacterium. RNAcentral describes it as "partial 16S ribosomal RNA". It matches the Rfam family "Bacterial small subunit ribosomal RNA", at positions 338 to 795 of the family's 1533-position model. The record is from RNAcentral.
CCUACGGGUGGCUGCAGUGGGGAAUAUUGCACAAUGGGGGAAACCCUGAUGCAGCGACGCCGCGUGAGUGAAGAAGUAUUUCGGUACGUAAAGCUCUAUCAGCAGGGAAGAAAAUGACGGUACCUGACUACGAAGCCCCGGCUAACUACGUGCCAGCAGCCGCGGUAAUACGUAGGGAGCAAGCGUUAUCCGGAUUUACUGGGUGUAAAGGGAGCGUAGACGGCAGGGCAAGUCUGGAGUGAAAUCCCAGGGCUGAACCCUGGAACUGCUUUGGAAACUGUCCAGCUAGAGUGCAGGAGAGGUAGGCGGAAUUCCUAGUGUAGCGGUGAAAUGCGUAGAUAUUAGGAGGAACACCAGUGGCGAAGGCGGCUUACUGGACUGUAACUGACGUUGAGGCUCGAAAGCGUGGGGAGCAAACAGGAUUAGAUACCCGUGUAGUC